This is a long non-coding RNA of Homo sapiens (human), 1590 nucleotides long. RefSeq lists it as uncharacterized. The record is from RefSeq and is a predicted model, not a curated record. The transcript has 3 exons. NCBI's taxonomy places the organism in Eukaryota, Metazoa, Chordata, Mammalia, Primates, Hominidae.
GGCAGGUGCUUCAGCAACAGAGAGUAGAAGGGCAAAGAAAGGAAGCCCAAGCGCAAGACAAGCCGUGUGACAGCUGACGAAACGAUGCAGAGCUCACCUCUGAGCAGGCUGAGUCUCUGUGCUCACCUGCCCCUGAGAAAUGAUGAUGAAUCAGAAACUGCCAAAUGCAACACCUCAUUCUGGAUGUGGAAUCCGGGAGUCUUGACUGCUGUAUAUUCUCCUACAAAUGAACCUUGUUUGGAAGUUCUAGCAGGAGCUACUUGUACACCUGUGAACAAGGAAAGGUCCUCCUCUAUUGGGGAAGAUCGUCUUCUUCAACCAAGCACACAGCACAUGGAGCUGUGUAGAAGGAAGGGGCCACCCACCUAGCCAGCCAGAUCAGCCAAAUCAACCCUGGGGAUCAAUGUGAUGACAAGUGUCACAGCCAGAUCACCCUCACAUCCUCCAUCUCUUUAUGAAAUGUCAACUUUGAAUGGUGCCAACAUCUUUCUGCACCCUCUACCUCUGCUUCCUUUGACCAAGUAGGAUGUGCAUGGACUGCUUCUGGGCCAUGAUAUGGAUGGGGAAGGACCUAUGUGUCUGCUCCACCCAGGAUCAGCAGCCCAGCAUUUUUUCUGCUGUUCAUCUGGUGCCUGAAGUGGAUGGGAACAAACAAACAACAGCAUUUAUUGAUGGGGUCCCAAUGGGACCUUUUUUUCUACAUGCCUAUGCCAUGGGAUUAAACAUCAUCAGAGUUAGAAUUUGAGACAAGGUUGUUUUUAUGUUCACUCCAGUGACAAAAUUUCAACAGAUAUAACAAUGCCUGGAAACAGUGCCUGGGACAUGGAAAGUCACAUCUCAGAGGAGCCAGCCAAUAUUUCAAAAUCUAAGGGCCUGUCCCACUCCAUCUACAACCAUAAUCAUCUUUCUCAUCCCUAAUAAAUCUCCAAGCAACCACACACUAUUACUAGUGAGAAAAGCACAGAAAUGUACACCCCAAGAGAAAGGAUAUCUUUAAGGCACUAACCAGAGCUGGUUUGAGUCACCUGGAUACAGCACUGUAUUUUUGUGGUUUUAUUUUUUCUCAACCUUCUAAAUUCAGGGUUAUCUCGAGAUGGGGAGACAAGAAAGCAACAAGUAAUCCACAAAGAGGGAAAUCUAAAAGGAAGGAGAUAAGUUGUGAGCAAAGGACAGUGAGAGACUGAUUCUAAGGAUGGUGAAGACCAAGAGCAGAAAUGCUGUUUUAAUAAGUAAAACAUUUGCCACAUAUCCUAUUAGAAUCUUUGUCCUCCUUGCCUUUAACCCUGCCUCUUAGGGAUGGAGAAAGGGAGGUGCCAUCAGCAUGGGAAGUCACCCCUCAGUGCAGCUCUCCCUCCCUGAGCCUGGCCAUUCCCUUCGCCCCCAGCUCCCGGUGGAAAUCUGUUAUCACAGUACUUGCCACACUACAUUGAAGUUGGCUCUUUCUCAUGGAAACACAUCAGUCCUCUCAAGCAUAUUACCAACUUAUUCAUCUUUAUACCUUCGGAGCCCAGUCCCUUGUUGAAGAAAUAUUGUUUGAAAAGAGCUGUAAAAUUUCCUCCAUAAAACACAGUAAAAAGAUAUUUUCCAUUU